This 417-nucleotide ribosomal RNA is filed under the name uncultured bacterium. RNAcentral's name for it is "bacterial SSU rRNA". It matches the Rfam family "Bacterial small subunit ribosomal RNA", at positions 28 to 486 of the family's 1533-position model. The record is from RNAcentral.
GAUGAACGCUGGCGGUAUGCCUAACACAUGCAAGUCGUACGAGAGUUUUUAACUCUAGUGGCGGACGGGGUGAGUAACACGUGAGAAUUUGCCUUUAGGAGGGGGACAACAAUCGGAAACGAAUGCUAAUACCCCCAUAUGCUUUCGAGUGAAAUGGAUUUUAUCCGCCUAGAGAGAAGCUCGCGGCUGAUUAGCUUGUUGGUAAGGUAAGAGCUUACCAAGGCGACGAUCAGUAUCUGGUUUGAGAGGACGAUCAGACACACUGGAACUGAGACACGGUCCAGACUCCUACGGGAGGCAGCAGUGGGGAAUUUUGGACAAUGGGCGAAAGCCUGAUCCAGCAAUGCCGCGUGAGUGAUGAAGGCCUUAGGGUUGUAAAGCUCUUUACCCGGGAUGAUAAUGACAGUACCGGGAGAA